This 189-nucleotide unclassified non-coding RNA is filed under the name uncultured fungus. RNAcentral's name for it is "sequence contains ITS1". The record is from RNAcentral. Lineage: Eukaryota; Fungi.
UUAACUAUUAUAUAGUACUCAGACAUCACUAAAAUUCAGAGUUUGGUCCUCUGGCAGGCACAUGCAGGCAGAAGCCCACAGGCGUUUAGGCACGGCCUGCCAAAGCAACAAGAGUAUAUAGACACGGAUGGGCUAUACCAUAAAGGUAUCUCCUGGGUAAUGAUCCUUCCGCAGGUUCACCUACGGAAA